AGGAUGAACGCUGGCGGCGUGCCUAACACAUGCAAGUCGAACGUCCUGUCUCGCAAGAGGCAGGGAGUGGCGGACGGGUGAGUACCACGUGGGUGAUCUACCGUGAGGUGAGGAAUACCGGCGAGAAAUCGCCGACAAUACCGCAUACGCUUCUCUUCACCGGGAAGCAAAGUUGCGCAAGCGACGCUCUGAGAUGGGCCUGUGGCCGAUUAGCUAGUUGGUGGGGUAACGGCCUACCAAGGCGACGAUCGGUAGCUGGUCUGAGAGGACGAUCAGCCACACUGGGAUUGAGAACGGCCCAGACUCCUACGGGGGGCAGCAGUGAGGAAUUUUCCGCAAUGGACGCAAGUCUGACGGAGCAACGCCGCGUGCAGGAUGAAGGUUUUCGGAUCGUAAACUGCUUUUCUCGGGGACAGCAAGGACGGUACCCGAGGAAGAAGCCCCGGCUAACUACGUGCCAGCAGCCGC
Molecule: ribosomal RNA, 468 nt
Filed under: uncultured bacterium
Lineage: Bacteria
Description: SSU rRNA
Rfam family: Bacterial small subunit ribosomal RNA
Source: RNAcentral